UACAGAGGGUGCAAGCGUUGUUCGGAAUUAUUGGGCGUAAAGGGUGCGUAGGCGGUUUGGUAAGUCUCUUGUGAAAUCUAUGGGCUCAACUCAUAGUCUGCAAGGGAAACUGCCGGGCUUGAGUGUGGGAGAGGUGAGUGGAAUUUCCGGUGUAGCGGUGAAAUGCGUAGAUAUCGGAAGGAACACCUGUGGCGAAAGCGGCUCACUGGACCACAACUGACGCUGAUGCACGAAAGCUAGGGGAGCAAACAGG
This 253-nucleotide ribosomal RNA is filed under the name uncultured bacterium. RNAcentral describes it as "partial 16S ribosomal RNA". It matches the Rfam family "Bacterial small subunit ribosomal RNA", at positions 524 to 776 of the family's 1533-position model. The record is from RNAcentral.